GACGAACGCUGGCGGCGUGCUUAACACAUGCAAGUCGAGCGGUAAGGCCCUUUCGGGGUACGACGAGCGGCGAACGGGUGAGUAACACGUGGGUGACCUGCCCUCAGCUCUGGGAUAAGCCUGGGAAACCGGGUCUAAUACUGGAUAUGACUCCAUGACGCAUGUUGGUGGGGUGGAAAGCCUUGUGCGGCUGAGGAUGGGCCCGCGGCCUAUCAGCUUGUUGGUGGGGUGANGGCCUACCAAGGCGACGACGGGUAGCCGGCCUGAGAGGGCGACCGGCCACACUGGGACUGAGACACGGGCCCAGACUCCUACGGGAGGCAGCAGUGGGGAAUCUUGCGCAAUGGGCGAAAGCCUGACGCAGCGACGCCGCGUGAGGGAUGACGGCCUCGGUGUAA
RNAcentral lists this ribosomal RNA (398 nucleotides) under uncultured bacterium. Its description in RNAcentral is "bacterial SSU rRNA". It matches the Rfam family "Bacterial small subunit ribosomal RNA", at positions 28 to 428 of the family's 1533-position model. The record is from RNAcentral.